Molecule: ribosomal RNA, 465 nt
Filed under: uncultured bacterium
Lineage: Bacteria
Description: bacterial SSU rRNA
Rfam family: Bacterial small subunit ribosomal RNA
Source: RNAcentral
CCUACGGGAUGCAGCAGUGGGGAAUAUUGCACAAUGGGCGCAAGCCUGAUGCAGCCAUGCCGCGUGUGUGAAGAAGGCCUUCGGGUUGUAAAGCACUUUCAGCGAGGAGGAAGGUGGUGAACUUAAUACGUUCAUCAAUUGACGUUACUCGUAGAAGAAGCACCGGCUAACUCCGUGCCAGCAGCCGCGGUAAUACGGAGGGUGCAAGCGUUAAUCGGAAUUACUGGGCGUAAAGCGCACGCAGGCGGUUUGUUAAGUCAGAUGUGAAAUCCCCGGGCUCAACCUGGGAACUGCAUUUGAAACUGGCAAGCUAGAGUCUCGUAGAGGGGGGUAGAAUUCCAGGUGUAGCGGUGAAAUGCGUAGAGAUCUGGAGGAAUACCGGUGGCGAAGGCGGCCCCCUGGACGAAGACUGACGCUCAGGUGCGAAAGCGUGGGGAGCGAACAGGAUUAGAUACCCCUGUAGUC